AUUGAACGCUGGCGGCAUGCCAUACACAUGCAAGUCGAACGGCAGCACGGGAGCAAUCCUGGUGGCGAGUGGCGAACGGGUGAGUAAUAUAUCGGAACGUGCCCAGUCGUGGGGGAUAACGUAGCGAAAGCUACGCUAAUACCGCAUACGAUCUAUGGAUGAAAGCGGGGGAUCGCAAGACCUCGCGCGAUUGGAGCGGCCGAUAUCAGAUUAGGUAGUUGGUGAGGUAAAGGCUCACCAAGCCGACGAUCUGUAGCUGGUCUGAGAGGACGACCAGCCACACUGGGACUGAGACACGGCCCAGACUCCUACGGGAGGCAGCAGUGGGGAAUUUUGGUCAAUGGGCGCAAGCCUGAUCCAGCAAUGCCGCGUGCAGGAUGAAGGCCUUCGGGUUGUAAACUGCUUUUGUACGGAACGAAACGGCGAGCUCUAAUACAGUUUGCUAAUGACGGUACCGUAAGAAUAAGCACCGGCUAACUACGUGCCAGCCGCCGCUGUAA
RNAcentral lists this ribosomal RNA (500 nucleotides) under uncultured bacterium. RNAcentral describes it as "partial 16S ribosomal RNA". It matches the Rfam family "Bacterial small subunit ribosomal RNA", at positions 30 to 523 of the family's 1533-position model. The record is from RNAcentral.